This 253-nucleotide ribosomal RNA is filed under the name uncultured bacterium. Its description in RNAcentral is "partial 16S ribosomal RNA". It matches the Rfam family "Bacterial small subunit ribosomal RNA", at positions 524 to 776 of the family's 1533-position model. The record is from RNAcentral.
UACGUAGGGUGCGAGCGUUGUCCGGAUUUAUUGGGCGUAAAGAGCUCGUAGGCGGUUUGUUGCGUCGGCUGUGAAAUCCCGAGGCUCAACCUCGGGUCUGCAGUCGAUACGAGCAAACUAGAGUGUUGCAGGGGAGACUGGAAUUCCUAGUGUAGCGGUGAAAUGCGCAGAUAUCAGGAGGAACACCGGUGGCGAAGGCGGGUCUCUGGGCAACAACUGACGCUGAGGAGCGAAAGCGUGGGGAGCGAACAGG